GGUGAACGCUGGCGGUAGGCCUAACACAUGCAAGUCGAACGGCAGCACAGUAAGAGCUUGCUCUUACGGGUGGCGAGUGGCGGGCGGGUGAGGAAUACAUCGGAAUCUACUUUUUCGUGGGGGAUAACGUAGGGAAACUUACGCUAAUACCGCAUACGACCUACGGGUGAAAGCAGGGGAUCUUCGGACCUUGCGCGAUUGAAUGAGCCGAUGUCGGAUUAGCUAGUUGGCGGGGUAAAGGCCCACCAAGGCGACGAUCCGUAGCUGGUCUGGGAGGAUGAUCAGCCACACUGGAACUGAGACACGGUCCAGACUCCUACGGGAGGCAGCAGUGGGGAAUAUUGGACAAUGGGCGCAAGCCUGAUCCAGCCAUACCGCGUGGGUGAAGAAGGCCUUCGGGUUGUAAAGCCCUUUUGUUGGGAAAGAAAAGCAGCAGGUUAAUACCCCGCUGUUCUGACGGUACCCAAAGAAUAAGCACCGGCUAACUUCGUG
RNAcentral lists this ribosomal RNA (492 nucleotides) under uncultured bacterium. RNAcentral's name for it is "partial 16S ribosomal RNA". It matches the Rfam family "Bacterial small subunit ribosomal RNA", at positions 28 to 507 of the family's 1533-position model. The record is from RNAcentral.